Molecule: long non-coding RNA, 1092 nt
Filed under: Homo sapiens (human)
Lineage: Eukaryota; Metazoa; Chordata; Mammalia; Primates; Hominidae
Description: long intergenic non-protein coding RNA 320
Source: RNAcentral
GUUCUUUAGUAGAAGGAUAACAUGACAUAGCAGGAAUAAUACUGCCUUUUCUUUCUGGCAUGGAUCAAGAGAAAAGAAAAUACAAGAAAACAGACAGAAGGCUUCUGACAGCUUUGGAGAUUGUGACAUUGGAAUAAAGGAAAAACGUACAGGACUCAUGAAGCGCUGAAAUGUUCACAAAUAUCAAGCAAAAGUCAAUGAAAUUUAUUUUGAGCUAUUUACAUCAUUUAAUAAUUGAGCAAGGUAUACUCCUAUGAACAAAAUUUGGAGCAUGUUUGUCUCUCUCUGCCUGGCGUCUUCAGAAUUUGGAAACUAGUUAAAAUUGUUGUCUUAUUUUCAUCCUCUUUAAAAGAUGGUUUAUAAUCAGCUAUAGAAUUUUAACACGUGCUCUCAAAUGCAAGUUUCUGAUAACUUUGGAGAUUGUGACAUUGGAAUAAAGGAAGAGCUGGAAUGUUCAUGAAUAUCAAGCAAAAGUCAUGGAAAUUUAUUUUGAGCUAUUUACAGCAUUUAAUAAUUGAGCAAGGUAUACUCCUAUGAACAAAAUUUGGAGCAUGUUUGUCUCUCUCUGUCUGCCUGGCAUCUACAGAAUUUGGAAACUAGUUGUGCUGUACUGCAUGAGAAUGCCUGCAUUUAGUAUGCGAACUGGAAUUGGCAAAGGACGAUGGCUGCUCUCCCGCUAACUUUAAAUAAGUCAUGUCACAAAUUGCAUGUAAGACUUAUAAAAUAUUAACGUUGGGAGACACUGAAACAAAUCAGUAUUUCUAUUAACCUGCGAAAAGAUCUUCCAAAUAUAUAACCAAAGUAACUAAAACAAAUACUAAAAAGAGUUUACUUUUAAAACUAGGUUUAUGAAAUAUUUUCCCCAAGUUUGCAUGAUUAUUAGAAAAGUGGCUUAAAGAGUAAAGAAAAACUGGAAUCUUGUUGACCCCAAGUACUCCUCUAACCCUUUUGCUCUGCUGUUACAAUGGACCAGUAAAUCUUCAAACAUAACACCUCUUAAAUUAAAAACAGAAAUGGUGUAGAUUGCACACAUUACAACAUUUUUUUAGGCUUACUUCUUUUUUUCAAUAUUAAAGCUUAUUUUUCACACAU